Molecule: ribosomal RNA, 249 nt
Filed under: uncultured bacterium
Lineage: Bacteria
Description: partial 16S ribosomal RNA
Rfam family: Bacterial small subunit ribosomal RNA
Source: RNAcentral
UACGUAGGGUGCGAGCGUUGUCCGGAAUUAUUGGGCGUAAAGAGCUCGUAGGCGGUGUGUCGCGUCGGCCGUGAAAACCUGGGGCUUAACUCUGGGCGUGCGGUCGAUACGGGCAUCACUAGAGUUCGGCAGGGGAGACUGGAAUUCCUGGUGUAGCGGUGAAAUGCGCAGAUAUCAGGAGGAACACCGGUGGCGAAGGCGGGUCUCUGGGCCACUACUGACGCUGGAGAAGCGAAAGCAUGGGAGCGA